RNAcentral lists this ribosomal RNA (301 nucleotides) under uncultured bacterium. Its description in RNAcentral is "partial 16S ribosomal RNA". It matches the Rfam family "Bacterial small subunit ribosomal RNA", at positions 509 to 807 of the family's 1533-position model. The record is from RNAcentral.
CAGUCGCCGCGGUAAUACGGAAGGUGCAAGCGUUAAUCGGAAUUACUGGGCGUAAAGCGUGCGUAGGCGGUUCGUUAAGUCUGUUGUGAAAGCCCCGGGCUCAACCUGGGAAUGGCAAUGGAUACUGGCGAGCUAGAGUGUGUCAGAGGAUGGUGGAAUUCCCGGUGUAGCGGUGAAAUGCGUAGAGAUCGGGAGGAACAUCAGUGGCGAAGGCGGCCAUCUGGGACAACACUGACGCUGAGGCACGAAAGCGUGGGGAGCAAACAGGAUUAGAUACCCCGGUAGUCCCUGUCUCUUAUAC